Molecule: RNA transcript, 1720 nt
Organism: Hyla sarda
Lineage: Eukaryota; Metazoa; Chordata; Amphibia; Anura; Hylidae
Gene name: high affinity cGMP-specific 3',5'-cyclic phosphodiesterase 9A-like
Exons: 19
Source: RefSeq, a predicted model, not a curated record
GAAUAUUAAUCCCCCCGGACAGCAUGAAACCAACACAGAGGGGGACAAAGCCGCACUAGACCCUGAAACAACCAGAGAUGGGAUCCGCAGCCUCUGCGCAAAAGACUAUCUACCUGGAGGUGGACGGAAAGGUGCAGAAGAUCGUCUUCAGCCAACAGAGCAGCAGCAGCGACAUCAAGCAGAUUCUGUGCACGUCGGCCGGACUCCCCUGGCAGACGCCCAUUAUCCUCGUGGACUCAAGGGGCACUUUGAUCGCCACUGACCCCACAAUUCCGGGCAACAGCAAGUAUUCACCCUAUCGGAUCAUCUGUGAGGACUUGUCGCCACGACCAGAAAAAGAAGACGUUUUCCAUAAGCUUAUGACACAAGUUGCAGAGGAAUUCACAAGAGCGUUCAGGAUUAGCGAUUUGAAGAGAGAAGUCAAUGAGCGGAUCACCGCCUUAGAGCGUAGGGUGGAAGCUGAAGGCCAGAAAGCUACUGACAUUGAGAAGUGUAAGCUUGAACUGAGGAACUUGAGGGAUGAAAUAGAGGAAAGAAGUGGCAGCAGACUGAGUUGUUCCUGUAAAUAUAACCGAUCUGGCGACAUAAUCCGGAUAAACCCUCGCAAGGAUGUCCACAGUUACCCCAAGUACACCUUGUCACCAGAGACUAUCGAGACCCUGAAGAAGCCGACCUUCGAUGUCUGGCACUGGGAAUAUAAUGAGAUGCUGAGCUGUCUGGAGUUCAUGUACCAUGACCUUGGAAUUGUUCAGGAAUUUAACAUGAACCCCAUCACCCUGAAGUGCUGGUUGUUGUGCAUCCAGGAGAAUUACAGAACCAACCCGUUCCAUAACUUCCGCCAUUGCUUCUGUGUGACGCAGAUGAUGUACGGGAUGAUUCACCUCUGCGAGCUCCAGGGCCGGUUGUCGAUUUUGGAGUUGGGUAUUCUGAUGACGGCCGCCGUGUGCCAUGAUCUCGACCACCCAGGAUAUAACAACACGUACCAGAUCAAUGCGCACACAGAGCUGGCGAUUCGUUACAAUGACAUCUCUCCUCUGGAGAACCACCACUGCGCAGUCGCCUUCCAGAUCCUGGCGCAACCGGAAAGCAACAUCUUCUCGAAUAUUUCCCUCGAGCUUUUCAAACAGAUCCGGCAGUCCAUCAUUCGCCUGAUUCUGGCGACAGACAUGGCUCGUCACGCCGACAUAUUGGAGUCUUUUAAACAGGUCAUUUCUACCUUCGACUUCAAUAGUGAAGAACAUGUGAAAACACUGCAGAUGAUGAUGAUAAAAUGCUGCGAUAUCUCCAACGAAGUGCGUCCCACAGAGGUGGCGGAGCCCUGGGUGGACUGUCUGCUCGAGGAAUACUUCAUGCAGAGUGACCGGGAAAAGUUGGAGGGUCUCCCAGUAACCCCAUUUAUGGAUCGUGAUAAAGUCACAAAACCCAAAGCGCAGAUCGGAUUCAUUAAAUUUGUCCUGAUUCCGAUGUUCGAGACCGUCAUGAAGAAACAGUGCCACACCCCUGCAGAGGUUGUGUCAGGUACUGCAGCUAGGCAAGUGAAUGGGACUGAGCUGCAGCCCCACAUAUAACCUGUAGACAGCUCUCUUCCCACAGAUAGAGGAGGUGAUGGUGCGUCCCCUGCAGGAGGCGAGAGAUCAUUACGAGGAGCUCAUUCAACUGGAGGAGGCGAUGGCAGAGGUCCAGCAGAAAAAGGCCGAGAUCCUGUCGGGCGGAGGCAAAG